Molecule: ribosomal RNA, 254 nt
Filed under: uncultured bacterium
Lineage: Bacteria
Description: partial 16S ribosomal RNA
Rfam family: Bacterial small subunit ribosomal RNA
Source: RNAcentral
UACGUAGGGGGCAAGCGUUGUCCGGAAUUAUUGGGCGUAAAGAGCGUGUAGGCGGCCAGAUAAGUCCGCUGUGAAAUCUCGAGGCUCAACUUCGAGCUGUCGGUGGAAACUAUCUGGCUAGAGUCCGGAAGAGGAGAAUGGAAUUCCUGGUGUAGCGGUGAAAUGCGCAGAUAUCAGGAGGAACACCGAUGGCGAAGGCAGGUCUCUGGGCCACUACUGACGCUGGAGAAGCGAAAGCAUGGGGAGCGAACAGG